CCUACGGGUGGCAGCAGUGGGGAAUAUUGGACAAUGGGCGAAAGCCUGAUCCAGCCAUGCCGCGUGUGUGAAGAAGGCCUUCGGGUUGUAAAGCACUUUCAGUGGGGAAGAAAGCCUUGGGGCUAAUACCCUCGAGGAAGGACAUCACCCACAGAAGAAGCACCGGCUAACUCCGUGCCAGCAGCCGCGGUAAUACGGAGGGUGCGAGCGUUAAUCGGAAUUACUGGGCGUAAAGCGCGCGUAGGCGGUUUGAUAAGCCGGUUGUGAAAGCCCCGGGCUCAACCUGGGAACGGCAUCCGGAACUGUCAGGCUAGAGUGCAGGAGAGGAAGGUAGAAUUCCCGGUGUAGCGGUGAAAUGCGUAGAGAUCGGGAGGAAUACCAGUGGCGAAGGCGGCCUUCUGGACUGACACUGACGCUGAGGUGCGAAAGCGUGGGUAGCAAACAGGAUUAGAUACCCGUGUAGUC
RNAcentral lists this ribosomal RNA (465 nucleotides) under Vreelandella stevensii. RNAcentral describes it as "partial 16S ribosomal RNA". It matches the Rfam family "Bacterial small subunit ribosomal RNA", at positions 338 to 795 of the family's 1533-position model. The record is from RNAcentral. Lineage: Bacteria; Pseudomonadati; Pseudomonadota; Gammaproteobacteria; Oceanospirillales; Halomonadaceae.